UAUUAAAACUUUCAUCCAAUUCUACUAUUAAAAACUAGUAUGGCUGACGGAAUAACUGAACAAUAAUACAUGGAGUGCCACAUGUACCUCUUGCUGGCGUAUAGGGAUCAAUUUUUAACAGUAAAAAUGGAUGAAAUUUUUAACA
Non-coding RNA from Gossypium hirsutum (cotton), 145 nucleotides. The record is from Rfam. NCBI's taxonomy places the organism in Eukaryota, Viridiplantae, Streptophyta, Magnoliopsida, Malvales, Malvaceae.